GACGAACGCUGGCGGCGUGCUUAACACAUGCAAGUCGAACGGAAAGGCCCUGCUUUUGUGGGGUGCUCGAGUGGCGAACGGGUGAGUAACACGUGAGUAACCUGCCCUUGACUUUGGGAUAACUUCAGGAAACUGGGGCUAAUACCGGAUAGGAGCUCCUGCUGCAUGGGGGGGGUUGGAAAGUUUCGGCGGUUGGGGAUGGACUCGCGGCUUAUCAGCUUGUUGGUGGGGUAGUGGCUUACCAAGGCUUUGACGGGUAGCCGGCCUGAGAGGGUGACCGGCCACAUUGGGACUGAGAUACGGCCCAGACUCCUACGGGAGGCAGCAGGGGGGAAUAUUGCACAAUGGGCGGAAGCCUGAUGCAGCAACGCCGCGUGCGGGAUGACGGCCUUCUGGUUGUAAACCGCUUUCGCCUGUGACGAAGCGUGAGUGACGGUAAUGGGUAAAGAAGCACCGGCUAACUACGUG
RNAcentral lists this ribosomal RNA (468 nucleotides) under uncultured bacterium. RNAcentral describes it as "partial 16S ribosomal RNA". It matches the Rfam family "Bacterial small subunit ribosomal RNA", at positions 28 to 507 of the family's 1533-position model. The record is from RNAcentral.